GGGGACAGGAUGACAGGUGGUGCAUGGUUGUCGUCAGCUCGUGUCGUGAGAUGUUGGGUUAAGUCCCGCAACGAGCGCAACCCUUGAUCUUAGUUGCCAGCAUUUAGUUGGGCACUCUAAGGUGACUGCCGGUGACAAACCGGAGGAAGGUGGGGAUGACGUCAAAUCAUCAUGCCCCUUAUGACCUGGGCUACACACGUGCUACAAUGGAUGGUACAAAGGGCAGCAAAACCGCGAGGUCGAGCCAAUCCCAUAAAACCAUUCUCAGUUCGGAUUGUAGGCUGCAACUCGCCUACAUGAAGCUGGAAUCGCUAGUAAUCGCGGAUCAGCAUGCCGCGGUGAAUACGUUCCCGGGCCUUGUACACACCGCCCGUCAAAC
RNAcentral lists this ribosomal RNA (379 nucleotides) under uncultured Bacillus sp. RNAcentral describes it as "bacterial SSU rRNA". It matches the Rfam family "Bacterial small subunit ribosomal RNA", at positions 1022 to 1402 of the family's 1533-position model. The record is from RNAcentral. Lineage: Bacteria; Bacillati; Bacillota; Bacilli; Caryophanales; Bacillaceae.